CACCACUAGACGCCAGAAGAAGACUGAGUGACACGUCAAAGGCAACCAAGGCAAGGCAAGAAAAGCACGGGCAACACAAACUCGGCUCUGGUGGUUACAUGAAACUUGCUGCACGAAUUGGCUCUAAAUUCAAUAGAGCGCCCACAGAAGAUGACAAGAGAAUUGCCU
Cryptomeria japonica (Japanese cedar) is the source of this 168-nucleotide long non-coding RNA. RefSeq lists it as uncharacterized. The transcript has 3 exons. The record is from RefSeq and is a predicted model, not a curated record. Lineage: Eukaryota; Viridiplantae; Streptophyta; Pinopsida; Cupressales; Cupressaceae.